This 465-nucleotide ribosomal RNA is filed under the name uncultured beta proteobacterium. RNAcentral's name for it is "bacterial SSU rRNA". It matches the Rfam family "Bacterial small subunit ribosomal RNA", at positions 338 to 795 of the family's 1533-position model. The record is from RNAcentral. Lineage: Bacteria; Pseudomonadati; Pseudomonadota; Betaproteobacteria.
CCUACGGGUGGCUGCAGUGGGGAAUUUUGGACAAUGGGCGCAAGCCUGAUCCAGCCAUGCCGCGUGCGGGAAGAAGGCCUUCGGGUUGUAAACCGCUUUCGGACGGAAAGAAAUCGCAUGGACUAAUACUCUGUGUGGAUGACGGUACUGUAAGAAGAAGCACCGGCUAACUACGUGCCAGCAGCCGCGGUAAUACGUAGGGUGCGAGCGUUAAUCGGAAUUACUGGGCGUAAAGCGUGCGCAGGCGGAUAUUUAAGUCAGACGUGAAAUCCCCGGGCUUAACCUGGGAAUGGCGUUUGAAACUGGAUGUCUAGAGUGUGGCAGAGGGGGGUGGAAUUCCACGUGUAGCAGUGAAAUGCGUAGAGAUGUGGAGGAACACCGAUGGCGAAGGCAGCCCCCUGGGCUAACACUGACGCUCAUGCACGAAAGCGUGGGGAGCAAACAGGAUUAGAUACCCCGGUAGUC